This 494-nucleotide ribosomal RNA is filed under the name uncultured bacterium. RNAcentral describes it as "partial 16S ribosomal RNA". It matches the Rfam family "Bacterial small subunit ribosomal RNA", at positions 28 to 507 of the family's 1533-position model. The record is from RNAcentral.
GACGAACGCUGGCGGCGUGCUUAACACAUGCAAGUCGAACGGUGAAGCGCCUUCCUUUUUGGUGGGUGUGGAUGAGUGGCGAACGGGUGAGUAACACGUGAGUAACCUGCCCCCUUCUUCUGGAUAACCGCAUGAAAGUGUGGCUAAUACGGGAUAUUCUGGGUCUGUCGCUUGAUGGGUCUGGGAAAGAUAUUGUUUCGGGGGGGGAGGGGCUCGCGGUCUAUCAGCUUGUUGGUGUGGUGACGGCUUACCGAGGCGGUGACGGGUAGCUGGCGUGAGAGGGUUGGCGGUCACACUGCUGCUGCGUCUCCUGCCCGUCUCCUGUGGGAGGCAGCUGUGGGUAAUAUUGCACAGUGGGCGCUAGCCUGAUGCAGCGUCGCCGCGUAAGGGAUGGUGGCCUUCGGGUUGUGAGCCUCUUUCGCCAGUGAAGCAGGCCUGCCUCGUUUGUGGGUGGGUUGACGGUAGCUGGAUAAGAAGCGCCGGCUAACUACGUG